GCAGUCGUGGCCGAGUGGUUAAGGCGAUGGACUCGAAAUCCAUUGGGGUUUCCCCGCACAGGCUCGAAUCCUGUCGGCUGCG
Molecule: transfer RNA, 82 nt
Filed under: Rhipicephalus microplus (southern cattle tick)
Lineage: Eukaryota; Metazoa; Arthropoda; Arachnida; Ixodida; Ixodidae
Description: tRNA-Ser
Rfam family: tRNA
About the family: Transfer RNA (tRNA) molecules are approximately 80 nucleotides in length. Their secondary structure includes four short double-helical elements and three loops (D, anti-codon, and T loops).
Source: Rfam by way of RNAcentral